UCUUCCGCUGUGAAAUUAGCUCUAUGGCAGUCUAGUUAUUUUUUGACCUUUGACCUGAGUCAGUGAUGUCAUCAGAAAAUGUCCAAACAUGUUAAACCCACAAACAUCAUAUCAUCUUGUCAGAACCACCAGGACUGUUGUAUCAGGUCAGUGCAGAUCAAAAACAGGACACAAGUACACCUUCAGAGCAGAAACUAAUUUUUCAGAGAAAUCAAACAUUUUCUUUGUUGAAAAGUGUUAUUAUUGAGAGGAAAAAGAAGUUCUUUGUGGACUGAGCCGUGUGCAAUGUGUUGGGUAGAUAUCUGUGUUUGUCUUCAGAUUUUUAAGAAAGCGAAGCAAGUGAAAAAAAAAAAGACAAAAAAAUAAAAAAUAAAGUCUUCAAGCUCCUGGACUCUAAACACAAGGGCCACAAAAAGAAUCCCAGUCUUUCAAAGUGUUAAAGAGGGAAAGUUAAUUUUUACUUUUCAUUUAUCUUUUUUUAAUGUUUUAUUUGUAGGCUUUUGUUUUUUAACUAUUCUAGGGAGCCGAAGGAACGAUUUUACAAAAGCAAAUGUAUUAUGACAAAAAUGAAAGAAAAGAAAAUACUGGUGCUUCUGAUACUCAUAUGCGAAUAAUACCACACCAGAACAACUGUUUCUGACGAGACUGACUGAAGUUUAACGAGCCUCUGUUUCUCUCCUCUUCUCUUUUGUAUUUACUAAGGGGGGUUCAUAUUUUUAUAUAUAUAUAUUUUGGUUCUGCAUUUUACUACAACCUUUAAGAAAGCAGUGCCCAUUCUUUCUUCUUCAAAUGUCUUGUCAAAUGGUGCAUUCAAGUCAUGUCAGAAAGAUCGUAUUUAUGAGUUGAAAACACAGGAAUGUCACCACAAUGUCAUAGCAAUGAAUUCAGCAUCUAAAUUUGUUAAAAUGUAUGAAAUUAUAUAUUACAUUUGCAAUAAAGUUGCAUAAUAAAUUAUGAUAGUACUCCACAAUUGCAAUAUAAUACAUAACGAUUCUGAACCUUCAUGAAUUGAAUAAAAAUCAAAAUGCACACCUGAUACGCAUUAUUUAUUUGUCAUUUUUCAGAAGUAGAGUAGAAGGGGAUUUAAACACACUUGAGGACUUCACAACUCGUAAAUACGAACGUCUCAGGAGGACUUGAAUGUACCGUAAUACCAGAUGAAUAUACAGAAAAGCAUGUGUUUGUUUGGAGUAACGGCUAUAAUGAAGUGUCACGAUUGAGAAUAGAGUAGAGGGUUCGUCACAAGCAAUCAGAUCCCAUUCACUCUGGGCUUCAUUUAGAUAAGAUAGUAUCGAUGUUAAUGUGAGUAGGGGUUUGUUCGUUGUAGUUUAGAGCACAUGUGGUUCAAGAUGAGAGGCAAAAAACGCAUCUGAAAAAACAUUCAGUGCCCCACGGCCACCCCGUUAUCAUCCUGGAAACACUUCCUUUAUGUAAAUGAGCUCCCAUAGUGUUCGUGCUGUAGUGUAUAGGUGAGCAUUUAAAGGUUGAGCCAUUUAAAGUGCCUUUUGUUCACAGACACCAUCUUGUAAACGAUGAACACCCAUCUUUCCUCCUUCUGAGCUUUCCCAAGCUGUAAACACAGUGUAUAGUAUUACAAGAAAAUAGAUGUGAUUUCAUUCUUUUAUUGUACGAUGAUGGAAAAAGUAAAAAAAAAAAGGUCCCUUUUUCUCUGUAUCAGUCUCUCGCUCUUGGCACCGUAGAUGUCUAUCCUUAUCUGUCCUCCCUCUCCCUACUUUUGAUGAAAAAAUGUUGAACCUUUUUCUCUUGAGCAAGAUGUUGUAAACUCUGUUAUAUCCCUGUCUGUAUGCUUCACAUGUUUAUAUCAUACACAUCUCUUGCUCUUUGGUCAAACGCAGUGAGCUCUGAGUUGAAGUCAACCCAGGACCAGCUCCGCUCACCUUUCCUAAAUCUGAGACCAGCAGUACCGGUGUGUCUUGGGAAGCGGUGCGGUCCUGGUACCAAAUCAUUUUGGGCUGUUGGUGGAGAGCGCUGAACCAGAAGAUGCACAAUAGCUAUGUCAUGUUUGUUUGUGUGUAUUUAUUUCCGUUUUAGUCAUAAUUCAAAAGUCUCACUGUUGACUCUGACUAUAAAGCACCUUUUAGUGGUUGAGACCAGCUGUUUAAAGACCUUGCCUGAGGAUUUGCUAAUUGCACCUUAUGCACCGAUUAAAUCUGAAGACACAGUGCACUUAGAAUAAUAUAUGACAUGCAUUUACAAGUACUGAUCCAGAUGUGGUGGCAGCUUUGUUAUCAAUGGUUGACUAGUAAUAGGUUAAUAUAGCAGUAAAAUCUUCCCUACAUCCACACUGGAUUGUGUCAGAAUUAUUAAACUUUAGUUGCGAACAUUUAUUCACAGUCUGCCCCGAUUUACCCAUGCAUAUCUACCCAGAUUGUGUUUCCGAUUUGCUUGUUUUGAUACAGAAGCAUCUCUGUUCCAGCGCUCUCCGUCCCCGCGCGCCUCCACAGAGCCUUUAGCAAUCUGCAUGUGUUAUUUACAGAUUCUUUUCCAUUAUAAAAAACAACAAUGUUUGUAAAGAGCAGCACCUGAUUGAAUAAAUGAUGUUCUUGACUGUACAAAAA
This is a long non-coding RNA of Carassius carassius (crucian carp), 2579 nucleotides long. RefSeq lists it as uncharacterized. Lineage: Eukaryota; Metazoa; Chordata; Actinopteri; Cypriniformes; Cyprinidae. The transcript is spliced from 2 exons. The record is from RefSeq and is a predicted model, not a curated record.